UUUUAGGAAAAUAUAUAUUUGUAUAGGAGCAACUAAAUUUCCAACAUAAGGAGAUGGGCUUAUACAAAGAUAUUUUAUUUCUUAUAUCUUUUUUUUUAAGAUUUGUAAUAGUUAUCCUUACAAGGUUUUUAAUUAUAUUUCUUUUAUAUAUUAAAGACUGAAGUAGGAAAUUAGAUAUUAAGAAAAUUUGUAUAUUUAAAAUAAAAGUUUAACUAAAACAUGUUACAUAAGGUUAAAACGUAUAUAUGUGGUUAUGUAACUGCCGUAUGCUCGUUUUUCACAUGAUGAAUUUCUUAGACCCAAGAUGCAUAAACCACACAAACAAAAAUACAUAAACAGAUGCAUCAAACAUCCAAACUAAACUUUAAAAAACAAAAGCGCAAGAAAUAUUGCUGGAAACAAAUAACAAAGGAAAACAUAUCCUCUUCCAUGAUUGAUGAGCGCAAUGAAAUCUUUUAUCCAAAAGAUAAUGAUAUGUUUAAUUUUCGAUAUUUUUCAUCGUAAUUGGAUUGAGUUCCAUUUUCACGCUAAGUUAACUUCGUUACGAAAAGAUGAUUCAUGUCUACGAAAGAAAAAUAAAAUAAAAGUACUAUGACAUGUCCAGUUAUCAAUAACGAGAUGAGAACAACUACUAAAAAUGGACCCGGAUAUGUUUGUAGCUGUUUUCAUGUUUUGCUUUAAUUCCUUUUUCAACACGGAUGUUUUAGCUCUAUAUAACAAUAAUAAUAAUAAUAAUAUAUUGCAUCUCUAAGACUAGAAAGUAGAAACAGUCAAACAAUUAAACAAAUUGCAUGCGUAAGUCAAGCAUGAAACAAGAGGAUCAUGCGCACAAAACAAACAAUGAAACCUAAUUAAUCUUACACAUUUUUACGUUGAAAUCCUAUUAGUUAUUCACUCAUGUUGUUGGUUAAAAUACUAAGUUUAGAAAGAUAAAAAACUUAGUUUUAUGUAUUUAUGAAACUUAAGCACAAAAUCUGCCGAGAGGAUUUUAGUUUUUUCUUUUUUACUAUAUAUGCCCAUUCUUAAGUUAUUUUUUUUUAAGUUGUCAAGAACAAGUUUCCUUUCUUUAACAGAAUGCAUAUACUUCCAUAAAAGACUCCUAUUUUCUCGUGAUUUUUAGGAAUCAAUGACUAAAAUCUUAUAGUCACAUCUGGCCGCAUGUGUAAUUGAACUUUUAUUGACUCUCGGUUUAUUAUCAGGCUCCAGCAUUGGUUUAGUCUUCGGUUUACGGCUCGGGCUAGGAGUUAUGUGAACACUGAUUAAUGUUGUGCGUUCGGUGGAAGAUGGUCUUCAAUGUGGUCUUCGAAUUUUUGGUUGAGCCCGCCCAUUUUGAUAUAGAAUGGUUCAUAAUCUACAGGGAAUCAUAACUAGAGCAACUCCAAUGAUGACUAUUAGAAGAUGGCCUUGUUUUAAAAAUUUCCAUUAGAUCUGCACAUCGAGUUCUUGAUGUUGCUAUUAUCUUUGUAUCCGGUUAAACUUAUGAAUGAAAAAUAUUUGUGUUGAAAAGAGGGUUCUAAUUAAGUAUUUAAAAAAAAUAACAAAAUAAUGGAAUUAGAAGAAAAAAAAGACUAAAAGUUCUUAUUUUAGAUUUUUUAAGAAUCCGUAGUAUACUCAAAACAUACAUGUCAUCAUGUUAGAGGAAAUUAAUGUAUAGUUUAGAAAAAAUAAAAAAAUAAUUGAAUUAUAAUACUUUUUCUUAGAAACGUUUAUGGUUUAUAACCGUUACUUUUAGAUACUAAUAAUAUGAUAUCAAAGUGGAUGAUUGGUUGGAUUGAAGAUGCAGAAACUCUGUUAUAGAAUUUUAGUUUAUAGUUUUUAUUGUUGUAUAUGUAUAUUUUGUUGCAGUAGAAAAACACAACUUGUAAACACACUUUUACAACAAACAAAAAAACUUGUUAAACACUUUAACAGUUGUUUUAGUUAAAAAAAAAACAUGAAAUAGAAGGUAGAUGGUGUAGCUUUUGUUUAGAACGUCUCAUUAGAUUAUUAAACUGAUUGGAAAACAAAUGUUGUAAGCUUUAAUUUUAAAAUAAAUAAAGUUACAUCAUAACUGUUUUAAGAUUAGUGAUUUAAAAAUAUUGGAAACUAAGUUAAAAUCCAACCGAUCAUCACAUGUGUUUUUAAUGUUUAGAACGUUAAUGAACUCUGAGGAUUACCAAAUUGUUUCCAAUAUUAAAAUUUGGUAAGCCUUUUUACAAAAUUAAAAUUUGGUAACAUCCAAAACAAAGUCACCUCUCAUCUUAAUUAAUUACUAGCUUUUGACCCGUCCUUGAAAGGACGGGUAUAUUUUUUGUUUUAAUUAUUUUUGAAAAUUUUAAUUUUAAUAUAAUUUUUACUAACUUUAAGUAAAAUCACAUUUAAUAAAUAUUUUUUAAUCAGAUAACCUAUUUAAAACCCGUUAUACUAAAUGAGUUUCAUUUAUAUAAAUAUUUAUUUCCAUCAAAAUUUCACUUAAACCCUAUUUUUAACAUCAAAUGCUUUGUUAAUUGAUAAACUUAAUGUCUGUGUAAAAUAUUUAAAAUUUGAAAAAAAAUGUCUAGUCGAAUAAAUCUAAUUUUUUGGCUGAGAUGUAAGCUAUGCUGUUGUAGUGUGCUAAUAUUUUUUGAAAAAAUAUAUCAAAUUUUAUUAUAAUUAUGAGGAAUAAUUAUCAUAUCACUAUAGAAAAAUAUGUCAAAAACGUAACGGUAUACAUAAUUAUAUAAAAUAAUGUGUUAUAUUAAUCAAAUAAAAGGUUAAAAUCUAAAAAUAAUUUUUAUUUAAACACCCAAUAACAAAAAAAUACAAAAAUAUAUGGUAACAAAAAUGUCUUUUUAAUGUCGAGAAUUAGUUUUAACCUUUAUAAGGGUUUAUAUUUUUAUGGUACAUGACCAAUUGUAUAAGGGUUUUUUCGUAUCACACAUUUGUUGCCAUAUAACAAAAAAAUACAAAUAUAUAUUUUUAUAAAUUUUUGUUGCCAUAUACAUUGUUAUUUUAAACAUGACUUAAAGUGGUUAUCCCUUUAAAAUAGGACUUUAAAAUAUAUUCAUUUAGAUGAAGUUAUAUAACUUGUGCAUUUAUAUAAAAAAUAGUUUUUUUAGUUGGACAUAACUUUUUAUCAAUUGGUUAUAUUUCUGUUUUAAUAGAAUAUAUAAUAAUCGAGUAUAAUUGCAAUUUUGUUUAAUAAUCAAUAUUAUUAGUCUUCUUCUAUUAAAAUUAAAUUAGCCAUAAACCUAGAUGUGGUUAAGAAAGCAAUAUAAAUUUAUAUGGCUCAUUGCAAUCAGACCAAAUGGAACAAAUCAGUUGAUUUUAAAAACAAAAUCGAGGCCCAUGGCCCAAUUUUAAAAUCAUAAACCGACAAAAACUCCUUCUUUGUGUUGGAAGAAAAACGUAACUACUUAUUAUACAAAAAGAACGUGUUAUUGAUUUAAUUAAAUUAGAUACAGUUAUAAAAAAAAUCAAUUGGACAUAACUUGUUAUCAAUGGGUCACACUGCUGUUUUAAUAGAAUAGAUUAUUUUCUGCACAUGGAAAAAGCACGCUACGUAUCCUAUCAUACGUAGACAACAAAUCGUGAAGCUCAUGAGAGCACCAUUAACGCAGUAGCUUAGGGAGGUGCUUAGUGAUUUUUGGAUUAAAAAAAAAAAGAAAAUAAUGUAUUAAGGGAAGCCACGGCGCUUAAUUAAGCUGCAAAAGCAACGUAGUUUAUGAGACACGUGCCUUUCAUGGAGGGAGUUUUGCUUUCUUCUCUCCACAUCUCUCUCGAGACGGACAACACCAUUCAAACAAGGUGGCUUUGCAGCUUAUAGCCGUCGCAUGUCCAGGUUCGUUGAACUUAUUCAAUUCCAUAAACCUCGAUUCCUUCUCCUUCUACUACCCAACCAAACCCUCUCAUCGUUCGUCUUCAGAUCAACCAUAGAGGAUGAGGUAAUCGUUCUUAUUUUUUUUUUAUACAGCUCUGUUUUCCGCCGGAGAUUGUAAAUGAGAAAUUGGAAAAAAAAAUCAAAACUUUGGUUCUGAAUAUUCGACCUCGGUUCAAGAUCUGAUGCUUAAUAUGUUAAUCGAUUCUCAUGAAAAUUAGCUUAUUGGUUUUGCUGCUUGCGUGUGGUAUGUUCAAUAUGGUAGAGUUAGAUUAGGAAUCAAAAGGCAAAACAGAGAUGGAAUCUUUGAAUCGUAGAGACUUUUUUGUAUAGACAUUGGAAUCGCAAGAGAAUAAAAGAUGAUGCUUUGAAUUCGAAGUGUAUCUCUGUUUCGAAAUGGUAGAGUAUGAUGCUUUGAUGUGUGAUUACCUCGUACUACAUCGAGAAGUAUGGUUGUUUAAUCUUUUGCUUAAGAUUCAUAAGAAUGUAUUUAAAUGUUGGGAUGAUCUUUUUCUCUUUCUCUGUGAAAAAAAAAAAGAAAACAUGAAGACACCUCCUCCGUCGUCAUGAAUCUAUAAUGGUAACGACUAAGCUUGACGACUGCAUUAUCAAUAAUCUGAAGGUGAAAUCAAGUUAUCAACGAGAGGGAGGCGACAUUGUUGCUAAAUAAAGUCAGAGUGGAGCAUUGGGAGUGGAAGAAUCACGGACUAGUGUUUGAUCUCUCUGGUCUUCUCGAUGUGGGACUGAACCGUUUGAUGUAGUGUUGUGUCCUAUUGUGUUGUCAUGUGUAGUCUUCUGUUGUUGUGGUACUGAGUCUUGUGUAGUUGUAACAUGUCUUGUGUCGUUGAUGUUCUGAGUCUUGUGUAGUCUUGUGUCACGGACUAGUAACAAGAGUAGUAAAGAAUGUUUAAGUCAUCUUCU
Long non-coding RNA from Brassica rapa (field mustard), 4756 nucleotides. RefSeq lists it as uncharacterized. Lineage: Eukaryota; Viridiplantae; Streptophyta; Magnoliopsida; Brassicales; Brassicaceae. The record is from RefSeq and is a predicted model, not a curated record.